This 2651-nucleotide long non-coding RNA is filed under the name Nicotiana benthamiana. Its description in RNAcentral is "long non-coding RNA (NBEN_LNC014226)". Lineage: Eukaryota; Viridiplantae; Streptophyta; Magnoliopsida; Solanales; Solanaceae. The record is from RNAcentral.
UUGAACAGUUUGGCUUGCUGCUUGGGCAGACAAGGCUGCUGGGGCAUUGACUACUGGCAGACAAGGUGUGCAAGCAUGCUCUGAAGUAGUUGGCAGACACGGCAUGAUGGUGUGCUCUGACAAGGCUGACGGGCAUUGAAUGCCGCAUUGAAUGCUGGAGCAUGCGCGUGCUGGCGCGGAUGUUGAGGCGUUGGACACGUUUGAGCGCUGAUUCUGGACAGAAUUGGCGCGGGACGUGUCAUAUAGGCAUGUUUUAUACCCAUUCCCUUAAUUAAACAUGCAUAACCCACCAUAUUCACUAUAUGCCCCAAUAUUCAUACAAAAUAUUAUAGCCCAGAUACAUUAAAUUACAACAGUGAUAAAAGAAAAAUAAGAAGCUAUUCUAUAGGGAGCCUUCAGCCAGGCCAAACAUCUCCAACGUCACUUCUUUUGAGUUUCACAUCCAUUACCAAGGCUUUGGUGCGGCAAAGUUCCCUAAGGGUUCGUUUGAACCCCUGGGCAGUACCAAGCACCCAGAGUAUCACUAUUAGACAGGUGCAAGUGUGGAAAGUGCCAUCCUUGUGUAUCAAAGUUCAAUGGGUGCUCAAGGGCUCCCAAGGCAAUGUUUACACUAAGGGGGCAGAACCUAGGGUUGUAAAAAUAGUGAAGUUGUGAUAGGAUUGAGAGAGAUUAAAACAAUUGAGAGUCAGUUUAAGAAAAAGAGUUGAGAGACAGUUUGAGAAAGUAGUUUAACAGAGUUGAGAAAGUUGAAAGGAAUUCUUUUGAAAUCAUUGGUACUAACCAGUUUAAAAUAGAGCAUCACACAAACAGGGGCAAAGGAGGAGGGAACAGGUAAGUACAGGGACCUACUCACACACAGACAAACAUAAUGAAGGCCGGUAAUGAAACACGGUUACAACAAACAAGGGGUUUCAGUUCUUACUACACCAAACCCCAAAUACUUAACCUCAAGAAGAGGUUUUUAGGCUAAUCAAGUAGCCAAGCAGCCCUGGACACAUGGUGGUAAUACACAAGGAAAGUAAACAACAUUAAGACAGGGAAUGGGUAAGAGGAGCAUGCUUAGCUGAAACUAAGUAGGCUAGUGAGUGCAUACUAGUGAUAAGAACAUGAAAACCACAGGUAGAAGUAUACUAGGAACAAGAAGAAGUGCAGGGCUAACAAAAGCAUAUUGUUUUGGGGACUGGAUACUAAAUAGAUAACAUACCAGUUGUAGACAAAUCGAACACAAAGAGUAAUGAGCAAGAGUGCACAGAGAGAGCAAGGUGUGCAGCUAAUGUGAGCAGCAGAGAGAAUAGCAGUGUGAGAACAUCAGUAGGAGAAAACCAAGUAAGCAAAGCAAUAGAACCUAGUAGUGUAGAGGUAAACAUCCCAGGCUACUCAAUCUUGGCUUUCAGCCGAUUGAGUAUUCAAAUAAGAUAAUGAGAGAGUGUAGAGGUAGCAGGGAAAGUGAAAGAGAUAAUUCAGAGGGUUUGAAAUUAUGAGAGAGAUGUAGUGUGUGUGUUUUUUUUCAACAAAGGCGAGGAGUAUUUAUAAUACUGGAAAACGAGUACACAAACAAGCUGCAAUCUUUAAUUAAGGGACUAGUAUCAAUUAAGAGUCCAAUUAAUAUCAGUACUCCCCAUUAACUAAGGAGUCAAAGACAAAUGGUAACAAGCAUAGGUUUCAAAAAGGAAAAGAAUCAAUUAACUACGUUUACCCUAGUAAAAGUAACAAGAAUAUAGUAUUCAAUAAAGGUCAGAUACAUAGCAGCUUAGGUAAGGAAAAUAUAGGCUAAAGAUUCAGAUGGUUGUUUGUUCACAAAUAUGGUAAGAAAAUAUAAGCUAAUUCUACCAAUUAAUCAAAGAAUCUCGGACAAGGCCUAAAAAUCAGAGAGAAUUGUUUCUAAGUAAUGACGGCAUACCCAAGUAAGGAAAUAAUUCAAAAGAAAUAAAAUCGUCUAAGGACAAUCACAGACCAGUCAAGGAUUCACAGAGAUGUUCCGAAUCAGCAUGCUAUUGCACAAACGAUGACCACUCAAGCCUAUAAAGCAUAACAGACAUGGAUUUGAGAUAACCCUAAGUAGUUAAACAAAGGGUCGAAACCCUAGUCAAAGAAAUAAGGCAUGGAACCCAGGCUAACAAAGAAGCCAAACACUCCCAAAACAAACAAGCAUAAACAUAUAAUACUCUGAAAAAAGCAGAAGAAACGUUUUGGACAAAAGGGUCAGAAGCCCUAACUUUGAAAAAGAGGAGAAAUCAUAAUAAAAGAUAAUCAGAGAAUGAGAGUAGAAAACAAAGAAUCAAACUAAAAACCAUUUUAAAACCGAAAAUUAAAGACAUUUGAGUAGAAAAAAUUAGGGUUUGCAGACGAGUUAAAGAAAAGAGGAACAUGGCCGUGAAACCCCAUUAAUAACGCCAUGGAGAGCAUUAUCGUGUGAAAAUCAUUGGAGCAAGGCUGGCAAAGACUCAAGCGGGGCUCAAUCAACCGUCUUUUAUGGCGGAAGCCUCUAGGCUUCGAGUUUGAGAGAUAAACAACGAGAUCAGUACCAUGGUGAGUGGUGGUCAAGAGGAGAGAGGUUGGAGGUGGCCGGAACAGCAAGGAAAGCCAUCGAAGAAGAGAGAAGAACGAAGGUUCUAGAGAGAAUUUCAGAGACGAAAGGUUAGAGAGAGAGA